UCCCUAGUGGUCUAAUGGCUAAGACUCCACGCUCCCAAUGCAGGGGGCCCGGGUUUGAUUCCUGGUCAGGGAA
This 73-nucleotide transfer RNA is filed under the name Bos indicus x Bos taurus (hybrid cattle). It matches the Rfam family "tRNA". From Rfam's summary of the family: Transfer RNA (tRNA) molecules are approximately 80 nucleotides in length. The record is from Rfam by way of RNAcentral. RNAcentral also lists the same sequence under 1 other name. Lineage: Eukaryota; Metazoa; Chordata; Mammalia; Artiodactyla; Bovidae.